UUUUUAUCAAUAAAUUAUUUACAAUUAUUGGAAUGAUUUUCAUGUUCAUAGUUCCUUCUUCUAUGGUUUCCAACUUUUUUCCCCAGAUAGCACUUUUCUUGGCAAUUUCAUAUAAUUCAGCCAUGGCUUCAGCUAGGUAGAGGGUCAUGAAAGUGUAAAUCACACAGCCUCUCAAUCUGCAAAAAGUAUCAAUGUUUUGCACUUGAUGUCUAAACAUUGUUGGGUGCUGAUCCGAAUCAUGGUGAUGCUUUGGAAAUUUCUCAGUGGCUGACGAUGUUUCUAGGGACUUGGCAAGAGGGUCAGCGGGAUCUUCAGAGCCGCCCAUCGCUUGCGGAUCUUUGCAACACGGCCAAUGCCAAAGAAGUAAGCUACAGAAACAGCUGAUCUUCUUUAGCGGUUAUUAAGUCUGAUAAUUUAUCUUUAGUGCAGCCUCAAAUCCAAUUUAUGGCUCCUCUAAAUCCAGUGUUAAUCUGGUUGGUAAUAACCAGAAGGAAUCGAUAUCAUUAUCAUCCGUAUCCUAGACAACAUAUGGGAAACCUUCUAGUGCAUUUGGAGACUACAAUUGAAACUUAUUUAUGGUCUUGACAGCCUGUGGGAAAAAGAGCCUGAAAAAUAAUAGUGACUCCUUUGUACUGUGAGAUUAGUUCAGAACAAGAGCCAGAGGAGGAAUAGAGUGAGUCUUCACUGCGUGAUACCUUCUUUGCAACUGUGGAAGCUGAGACUGAUAGUAAAACUAGAAAAGGCUGUUCCUGAAAAGAAGCUAUCACUAUCCAAAGGGCAAGGGAGUGGAGAUAAAAGAUCGGCUCUUUGAGCUUGCUCGUUUGUUCUGGAGAUCCUGGUGAUUAUAUUGACCUUCAUGAGCUUGGAAUGGAUCUAUGUGCUGAGGCCUUGAGGAAACAGUGACAAGUGAAGAAGAACAAAAUAUGAUAAGGCUGCUUUGAAAUUUUGAGAAGUGGCUGCUUUAGGUUUACCUCAACUUGAGAUAUGUUCAUGUUUGUGAAGCGAUGGAGAAUCUACCAAUCGAUGAUUUUUCUGCAAAGAAUAUGGUUGCAACACACUUCCAACUGCUUUAGGAUACAGAUUCUUUAGCUAGCCAGAAGUAUGAAGAUGCACUUUUGAUUAAACCAGACUUUUUUGAGUAAGUUGGUGAUCAGGAAUAAGUUCAAAUGACAAAACUUCACAGGUCAUCUUUUCUUACGAAAAAGAAGACCUCUUAAACUGGGAUCCAACAGAAACUAAAAAUGUUUAAUAACAGAACGGAGAAAAUGCAAUCUGCCACUGAAUGUGGGAGAAGCCGGAGAUGCAAAGAGGCAAAGAUUUUCAAAGAAUCCUCGUUUCGGCUUGAAAAAAAUUUGAUAAAAAGAAAGAGGAAGCAAGUAAGCAGUAGUGAAGGUGAUCGGUGAGCCCUAAAAGGAAAAUUUCAUCCGAAGCUGCAGAACAAGCACCAUUGAUACGAUCACAAAUACAUCUAUUUUGGGGUAACAUGCUUUUUAAGCUAUCUCCGGUUGAAUGCAAAUUAGGUAUGAUGGAUUGGAAUAAAAAUUUGGGCCCUGCUCUUGAGCGAUUAAAACUUGAUGGAACUUCUAAGGCUAAAAUUUCAAUCUUGCUGAAAUAUCAAUGCUUGAAUUUGGAUGCUGUAGAAGGGAACAAGGUAGCUUUACUUCAUUUGAAGAAGUAUGAGUCCUUGAGCCUUCUUGCUAUCAAGGAAGAAACACUAAAAAGAUGACUACGUACCUCAAGCUGGUCCCCGAUGUUGAUAACAAUGGAGUGGCGCAUAGGUGGAACAUCAAUCCAUUCUCCAUCCUUGAGGAGCUGGAGGCCGCUGACUUGGUCAUCCUGGAAGAGAAGGAUGAUACCUCCAGCGUCGGUGUGGGCACGAAGGCCUUUAAUAAGGUCUGGCUUAGGACAUGGAGGAUAGUUGCUCACCUUUGUUCCAAAAGUAGGACCCUUGGAUCCAUAAAAUGCUUUCUUCAGGUAGCCUUUCUCUAACCCGAGAUUCUCGCAUAACAAGUCCAAAAGUUCCUCGGCUAGUUUCUCUAUUCCUGCUGCAAAGUCCCUCAUUGCCUUCCUGUUGACCGAAAGUUAUCAUCUUAAUUUCAUUCCUUAAAGUCAUACUACGAAAGCUCUUUCAUUGUGCUUGUGUUUUACCUGUAGUCUUCCACAAGAUCAGGAAUGUCCAACAUGUUGGAAUGAGGAAGAUGGCUGAGGAAAAAAGUGCUUUCCCAGUCCAAAUCAUCAAUUUCGUUCUGAACAGCUUCUAACCCUUUACUUGCCACCAUUUCUUUGAACCUUUGUUCCAUGCACUUCUUGUAGUGUUCUUUAGUCAGCCUCUCCACAGUGUCCAUUAGCUCAAUAGAUAUCCCAUGAUUCACCAACUAUUUUAUCACAACAAAAGUAUUAACUCAAUGUAUACAGUUUCAGAUCAUACUGACAAAUUUACAAAAAUUAGUAUAUUCAUAAUUCAUGUCUAUGUGUGUUUUACCUCAAAAAAGCCCCAGUUCUCGCAAGCAUCCUUGAUCCUUUCCAUUGUUACAGCCCUGUCUUGACCAUUAAGCUUCUCCAUAUCGAUGAUUGGAAAUGUCGCCAUGCCUCUUUCUCUCUUCUCACUAUUCCCUCUUUCUCUCUGACUCUGUAUGUGGAGUGUACUGCUGAAAGAUGUGAUCUUUGAGGACAAUUUAUAGGCCUUAUUCUGGAAAAAUGUUGAAUAAUAGAAGUUUGGUAAUUCGAAGGAUAAUUACUAUUUCGAGUAGAAAUUUUGUUAAUAUUAUAUCCAUAUUCUAACUGCAGAAUUAAGGAACAGGACUAGUGGAACAAGUAUGUGCUCACAUUUCCAUGGACCCCUGCAAAAUUUUAUGAGGCUUACACUAUUCCAGGUAUGUCUACACCUGAGUUGAAAAAAAAGUGCAAGAAAAAGUUGGUCACACAUCAUUAUCUGGUGAAGCAUGGCAAAAGAAUAGGGUGGUGCCAAACAUUCUCACAAAAGUUGGUAAAAGCCAAUGGGCAGUUGGUAUUCACUUAACGCCCCAUUUGGCUAAAUGUAAAAUAAGAAUUUCUGGCAAAAAAUUUAUAUUUAUACAUUGUUGUUUGUAAAUUAAGUAAUUGUAAAAGUUUAAUAUAUCUGGUCCGCAAAAAUAAGUAUUUAUUUAUUUCUAGACAUAUGAUAUUCGUUUA
Daucus carota subsp. sativus is the source of this 3171-nucleotide RNA transcript. It is a transcript of the gene named protein CLMP1-like, with no coding region annotated. The record is from RefSeq and is a predicted model, not a curated record. Lineage: Eukaryota; Viridiplantae; Streptophyta; Magnoliopsida; Apiales; Apiaceae. The transcript is spliced from 5 exons.